This is a long non-coding RNA of Myiozetetes cayanensis, 950 nucleotides long. RefSeq lists it as uncharacterized. The record is from RefSeq and is a predicted model, not a curated record. Lineage: Eukaryota; Metazoa; Chordata; Aves; Passeriformes; Tyrannidae. The transcript is spliced from 4 exons.
UAAUAUUCCUUUUUCUGUAUUAAGUAACAUUUAUUUCUUACCACAGGCUUAGCUCUGUAGCCAAAAUGCAGAAAGAUCUGACUGAGUACUCAAUCAGGUCUCUGAGUCCUUUCUGCUCCUUGCAGGAUAAGCUGUAGGGCUUGAACGAAAAUGCAUGGUUUUGGUUGUUUGUUUUUCCAGUGUUGGCAGAUCUGGCACCUCAGAGAUAAAAAAAAUAUAAAGGCCAUUUUGUGGGAGUAACAAAGGUACCUUUUGCUAACUCAGAGGUGUUGCAAUAAAUAACUCAGCAGGGUCAUGUGUCCUUAUUUUACUGUAUUCUGAAAAGUGCAAACUUUGCAUUGCUUAAAAUAGUAAGUGAACUUUGCUUACCCUUCAGUUCUUCUUGACUGCACCUCUGCCUCAAAUGUCCCUGUGGAAACCACCCAAGAAGAGAAGAACAUCUUCCCCUAGAGCUGCUGCUCCCAUCUCUUUCUUCAUCAUUAAUUCUGCUGCAGAAGGGAGUUCCUGUUUUCCUGUUCCUCCAUACAUCAGUGCCUGCCUGCAGGAGAUGCAGCUCCUGCUCCUCUGACAUGAGGAAAAACAGAGGUACAACACGUGUGCUUGCUGAGGGUGAGGGGAAGGUGAGGAGGCUUCAAGAGGAAUGAUAUUGAAAGGCGGAGAGAAGACUGGAAAGUUUUACCCUCAGAUGAAGCUUGGUGUGCUUUGUAACUAAAGGUGACCCUGAAGGCUGUCUCUCUCUACUGUAGCUGCCAUUGCCAGACUUACAGAGAAAGCCAUGUGUGGGCAAACAGCCCUGCUGAAGAACAGUGGAAUUUGCUAAGCAGGCUCAGGGUUAAUCUUUUGCUUUGAGACGGGAGCUAUUCUCUCGCAUCCCACACCAGUGCUGCCGGAAGCAUCUCUUUCUGGAAAGAUGGAGGAGAGCAGCGCCUCUGGCUACAGUGUAACCCUUG